Molecule: ribosomal RNA, 253 nt
Filed under: uncultured bacterium
Lineage: Bacteria
Description: partial 16S ribosomal RNA
Rfam family: Bacterial small subunit ribosomal RNA
Source: RNAcentral
UACAGAGGUUCCAAGCGUUGUUCGGAUUCACUGGGCGUAAAGGGUGCGUAGGCGGUCGGGUAAGUCUGAUGUGAAAUCUCACAGCUUAACUGUGAAACUGCAUUGGAUACUAUCCGGCUUGAGGAAUGGAGGGGAGACUGGAAUACUUGGUGUAGCAGUGAAAUGCGUAGAUAUCAAGUGGAACACCAGUGGCGAAGGCGAGUCUCUGGACAUUUCCUGACGCUGAGGCACGAAAGCCAGGGGAGCAAACGGG